RNAcentral lists this ribosomal RNA (516 nucleotides) under uncultured Actinomycetes bacterium. Its description in RNAcentral is "bacterial SSU rRNA". It matches the Rfam family "Bacterial small subunit ribosomal RNA", at positions 355 to 879 of the family's 1533-position model. The record is from RNAcentral. Lineage: Bacteria; Bacillati; Actinomycetota; Actinomycetes.
UGGGGAAUAUUGGACAAUGGGCGGAAGCCUGAUCCAGCAACGCCGCGUGAGGGAUGACGGCCUUCGGGUUGUAAACCUCUUUCACCACCGACGAAGCGCAAGUGACGGUAGGUGGGGAAGAAGCACCGGCCAACUACGUGCCAGCAGCCGCGGUAAUACGUAGGGUGCGAGCGUUGUCCGGAAUUAUUGGGCGUAAAGGGCUCGUAGGCGGUUUGUCGCGUCGGGAGUGAAAACCUCGGGCUUAACUCGGGGCUUGCUUUCGAUACGGGCAGACUGGAGGUAUGCAGGGGAGAACGGAAUUCCUGGUGUAGCGGUGAAAUGCGCAGAUAUCAGGAGGAACACCGGUGGCGAAGGCGGUUCUCUGGGCAUGACCUGACGCUGAGGAGCGAAAGUGUGGGGGAGCGGAACAGGAUUAGAUACCCUGGUAGUCCACACCGUAAACGUUGGGCGCUAGGUGUGGGAUCCAUUCCACGGGUUCCGUGCCGCAGCUAACGCAUUAAGCGCCCCGCCUGGGGA